This is a non-coding RNA of Ameiurus melas (black bullhead), 72 nucleotides long. The record is from the annotation of a GenBank genome assembly. NCBI's taxonomy places the organism in Eukaryota, Metazoa, Chordata, Actinopteri, Siluriformes, Ictaluridae.
AGGUGGUAGCUCAGUGGUUAAGGCAGUGGAUUCCUGAUUGGAAGGUUGUGGGUUCAAAUCCCAUAUCAACUA